This 72-nucleotide transfer RNA is filed under the name Cavia porcellus (domestic guinea pig). It matches the Rfam family "tRNA". Rfam says of the family: Transfer RNA (tRNA) molecules are approximately 80 nucleotides in length. Their secondary structure includes four short double-helical elements and three loops (D, anti-codon, and T loops). Lineage: Eukaryota; Metazoa; Chordata; Mammalia; Rodentia; Caviidae. The record is from Rfam by way of RNAcentral.
GUUUAUAUAGCUCAGUGGCACAGUGCCUGCCUGGCAAGUGUGAGGUUCUGAGUUCAAUUCCCAGUAUAAAUA